Molecule: ribosomal RNA, 493 nt
Filed under: uncultured bacterium
Lineage: Bacteria
Description: partial 16S ribosomal RNA
Rfam family: Bacterial small subunit ribosomal RNA
Source: RNAcentral
GACGAACGCUGGCGGCGUGCCUAACACAUGCAAGUUGAGCGACGAACCAGGGCUUGCCCUGGGGCAAAGCAGCGAACGGGUGAGUAACACGUGGGUAACCUACCCCGAUAACCGGUACAACCCGUGAAAACUCGGGCUAAUACCUGAUGUGCUCACUGGCCUUCGGGUCAGUGCGUAAAGUAAGCUUCGGCCUCCGUAUCGGGAGGGGCCCGCGGCGGAUUGGUUUGUUGGUGGGGUAACGGCUAACCAAGACCGCGAUGGGUAGCUGGUCUGAGAGGAUGAUCAGCCACACUGGGACUGAGACACGGACCAGACUCAUACGGGAGGCAGCAGUGGGGAAUCUUGAGCAAUGGGCGAAAGCGUGACGCAGCAACGCCGCGUGGGGGAAGAAGGCCUUCGGGUUGUAAACCCCUUUCGGGAGGGACGAAGGUUGGGCGGUGAAUAGCCGGCCGGGCUGACGGUACCUAAAGAAGAAGCCCCGGCUAACUACGUG